RNAcentral lists this long non-coding RNA (5415 nucleotides) under Marmota monax (woodchuck). Lineage: Eukaryota; Metazoa; Chordata; Mammalia; Rodentia; Sciuridae. The record is from RNAcentral.
GUUGGGUCGAGGAAUUCAGGUGGGUGGUCUAACCACAGCCAGAUGAGCUAUCUCUGCUGGUUGCUUUCUGACCAACCAUGAAUGGUUGAUACAUGACUACCCCCAUAUUACUAUUGGGGGAGAUAUUUGUACUUUACCUGUUUUGACAUUCAAGGUUCAGAAGAAAAAGUUCCAUUUGUUCCUUGUACAUUGUAUCUGAUUAUUAUUAUUUGUUUCAUCUGUUGAUUUGAAAAAUUACAUCCUCAUUUAGGAAGAAUAAUUUGGUACUACUCUGCAGCUGGUUAUCCAGCUCAAACCUGAUAUAGGUAGAAUAGCUGGAAACUUUGGAAAAGGUGUGGUCCUGCCAAAUUCAAGGCAACUUCAUCAGACCUUCUCUUUUCUUUUAUAGCGGAUGUGAUGCUGGUACAACCCAGAGUAGAAUUUAUUCUGUCUUUCAUUGACCACAUUGCUGGGGAUGAGGAUCAUACAGAUGGAGUAGUAGCCUGUGCUGCUGGACUGAUAGGGUGAGUUAUACCUGCUUCCAGUAGCUAAGUAUUCUCACGCAAAAUGAGAAACGUGUAGGAAUGAAUCUUGAGAGACUAAUAGAUGGUAAUAAUCCACUUCUCAGAGGAGAUUCAGGAGUUAGUUUGUUGUGAUGUUGGGGAUUGAACCCAGAACCAAUACUCUACCAUCAAGGAGAUAGUAAGCUCAUAGUGUCUCUCUUGGGUAUUCAUAAGUGAUAAUCCAUUUCAGACCCUCUAGAGCUCUGUAAUUUCUUCCCGCUAAACUCUGGUAUUGGUCAAUACCUCUGUUUAACAUCCUUUGAGGGUUUCUGAUGCAUUGUUAAGAGAGCAUUGGUCUUAAGCCCAAAGAUCUGGAUUCUAGUUCUGGUUUUUACAGUGAAUUUAGCUGUUUAAUCUUGGACAAAUUAUCCUAAUUUAUAUCUAAAAGCUCUUCUAGCUUUAAAAAGUAGAUGAAUGCUAAGAACUACGUAUUUAACUCAGCAGUGUUUUGACAGGUUCAAAACAUGGUUCCUGGAGUUCAUUCACAAGUGGUUUUAUUCUACGCAGGGACUUAUGUACAGCAUUUGGGAAAGAUGUACUGAAAUUAGUAGAAGCUAGGCCAAUGAUCCAUGAACUGUUAACUGAAGGACGGAGAUCGAAGACUAACAAAGCAAAAACCCUUGCUACAUGGGCCACAAAAGAACUGAGAAAACUGAAGAACCAAGCUUGGUAAGAUUGGGUCACCACUUUUCUUUCUUCAAGUUUCUUAGGAGGAGGUACAUUUAGGCUAUUGUGGCAGGUGCUGGUAUCUUAUUGGUACUCUUUCCCUUAUAGGUGCUUCCGGGCGAGACCUUUGUUCCUCAUUCUUGUACUAAGGGAAAAGUCAGGCAGUCUCAUUUCUCUUGAGCCAGAUAUUUGAUUGAUUAUGGUGCUGGAGAAUAGGACCCAGGGGCAUUUUAUCACUGAGUUAUAUUCCCUGCCCUUUUUAUUUUUUAGUUUGAGACAGGGUCUCACUAAGUUGCUGAGGCUGGCUUUGAACUUGCCAUCUUUCUACCGUAACCUUGUGAGUCACUGGAAUUACAGGCAUGCACUGCCCUGCCUGCCAACAGAACUUUUUUGUGGUUUUGUUUUGGGGGCUCUGGAAAUUUAAUCCAGAGACACUUCACCACUGAGCUUCAUCCAUAGUCCCUUUUUGUUUUUGAGACAGGUUCUCACUAAAAACCUCAAUAAUUUGCUGAGGUUAGCCUUAAAUGUGCCUUCCUCCUGUCUCAGACUCCUGAGUCUCUGGGAUUAUAGGCAUAUGCCACAACACCUGGUUAGAACAGAACUUUUACAACAAAAAAUUCCCAAAACAUUUGGACCCUAAUAAAACUAUUGAUAGAGGCAUUCUCCCAUAAUUCUCUUUUCUACACCCUUCCCCAUUCCCUCUCGCCCGCAAUGCUGCGGAUCAGACCCAGGGCCUUGUGUCUGCUAGACAAGUAUUUUAAGACAUUGCCAAACUCCAUAGAAGAUAUCCUUUGAGACCCCUGCUUUGGAACAUAGGUUUGUUUGUUUGCUUUCUGCAACUUAGUAAUUAGUAAAAAAGGGGGGGAGGGCUAUUUUUAGUUUUUAAUUUUAUUUUCCCAUCUACCCCUGAUGGAUAUGCUCAUGAGAGCAGGUAGGUGGCACAUAGGAAGAGAAGGAAAAUUAUUCAUUCUUGAAGUUGACAAAUCCAUUCAGCCUAUGAGCACUUGGUUGUAGGAAUUGGAGGUAUUUAGGUUUUAUUGAGCAUAUGUGAUCCUAGGAUUGAUCUUUUCCUUCCAUCUGUUUUUAGAUCUGUUACCAUUGGGAUGAUAACCUGAGACCCCCACUGGAAAUCUCCAAUCUUUUGAAAAACCCGGAAGUGAGGAGUGUGCACGGAUGCUGAAUGUUUGGGAAUGAGAGGAUGAGUGAGUGAGGCUUGAAAACACACCACAUUGAAAAUCCUGCCACAGCAGCAGCCGCAGCCGCCAACAGCAGCGCUGUUAGUGAGCUAAGUAAGCACUGACUUCGUAGAAAACCAUAACAUCAGCCAUCUUGGAAAAGAGAGAAACGACGGAUUUACUUGCUUACAAAAAAGCUGUCUCUUCCCAGGGGAGGCUAGAACUAGCUUUUCUGUCUUUUGGCAGUGCCGAGUGGAAUGACUGGUUUGGGAGAGGAAGAGGGACUGGGUUCAGCUGUGGUGCUUUGUUGUAAAAGGCAGCCUGGCCUUUGCUACUGAGGAGAAAGAUGGAGCCUGGGUCUCAAGCCCACCUUCGCUGUACCUUUGCCACACGGUAUUUUACACGUGCAGGCUAGAAGGAGGGUGAGGGAUUUUUACAGUCUGAGAAUGAGUGUGUGUGAGUGAGGCGGUAUCCACAUUCUCAACUUCAAGUCAUUGCAGUUUCUUUUUCCCAGAAAACAAGGGGUUAGAUGUUGCAUUUCAUAAAACUAACCGAAGUUCUGUCUACUGAUGCAGCACAAGACAUGUAAAAAAACAAAGAGGAAAAAAAAAAGGAAAGACGCUCUUUAGGUUUUGUUUUGUUGGUUUUUUUUUUUUUUUUUUUUUUUAAUUAUUUUAGGGAAAACACUGACGAAUGGUCAGAGCUCCUAUCCUGAUCUUUUCAUCAAGGCGCCUUUCCUAAUAAUAUGGUUCAACUGUGAAUGUAGAAGUGGGGGGGGGAGGGGGGAGAAAAAUAAAACUCUGAAGUUAGAGGAUAUAGAAAAAUAAAAAUACAAAUUGUUACAAAUAAAGAAUGCAGACUUAAAAGACAAAAAAGCCACAACCCAAACCAAAAUUUAAAUGCUUGAAAUUGGCAGCACAAAAGAAAAGCUCUCUCCUGACUUGUAUCGUGGCAGUCUGAACGCCCCCAGAGAAUUGUGCCAAAGAGUUUAGAAGACAAAUAACCAAUAAAAGUAAACACACAUGUGCGCACACACAUACAAACAUACACAACAGCAGACUUCAGGUAACUAUUUUGGAUUGCAAAUGAGGAUAAAUUUAAUGUUUAAACAAUCUGAUAAAAUAACCAUUUGGAAACUGCUUGGCCUUCUGUUCUCUUUUAUUUGAUUGACUCCAAUGUGGUAUUGGUCUCUUGCUGCACUUCAAAACCAACUAACCAACAAAACAAAAGUGUGUGUGUCUAUAUGUAUGUGUAGACACACACACAGCAGAACUCAUGAUGAAAGUGGCACUUGAAAAUGGUUAUAUUUUUCCACUGAAGUUUGAAGAUUAAUAAAAUGGUGUCAAACACUCCCCUGUUCACACAUUUUAGUUUUUUGUUUUUCAAGUGUAAUGUGCUGUGAUUACCAUAAACCAGAAUCAUUUUCCCUUUUACAAGGGAUCAGGGCAUCCUGAAUUUUAGACUUUCAGCAAUAAGAAGGGAUGUUGGUGAGCUUUUGGUUUUUGCAGAUACUAGGGAGUUUUUGUUGGCAUUUGAGUAUGCGGCUUUCAAAAAAAAAAAGGAAGGUUUUUAAAUUGCUUCCUAGUAGUUUGAGGAUUAAAAGGCAAGACCCACUUUCAUUUUCAUCCUGUAGAAAGCAUGGGCUUAUGUUUUUUCCCAUCUCUUCCUUUGCAUCUUCCCUUCCCUGAUCCAGCCUUCCAUUCAAAGUGGGAUUGGCUCGGUUUUGCCCAUCCGUAUGGCAGCAUCUCUAAUAGCUCUUGUACAGGGUAUCAAAUAUUGUGCCUUUUGGUGCCAGGUUCAAAGUCAAGUGCCGAUCUAUGAACCAGUGUACAAAAAAAAAAAAUCCAGGUGUUUGAAGGAGAGACGCUCCAUUGUGAAUAGAGAACUCACACCAGCUCCUAAGCCUAUUGAGAAGAGGGCCUGGUCCUCUUAAUGCCUUGUUUCCAUUUUAGUUGUUUCUUGAGUGAGGGAGAAUGAUAUACUAACCAUUCCUGAUAUUAGGUAGGGUUGGGUCAGGGCUUAGGGAGGGGCAGGAAUAUUGGGGAAAGAAAGAAAAAAUAAUCUGAUCAUUCCUCAGUGCUACCCAUUUCUGUCCUGUGUGGGUUGCUUAGCUAGACAGCAGGAGAAUAAAGUACACCAAGAACCAUAAUAAAAACAAAACCUUCCGUGUGUUUUGUCAUGUUUUGUUCCAGGGAACCAGUUGAUAAGUGCUGUUAUUAAUGCUUUCUCCCAGAUCCAUUCAGUGAUGGAGAGGAGGAAAUGGGCUGGUUGGAUUGUGGUCUUGGUGCCUUGUAGUUAUUCUGCACUGGUUAUGUAUUUAAUCCUCCUCUUUCCUAGAUACCUUUGGCAAGUGGAUUUUCCAUAGUCUGGGUAUUUUCCUUAAUCAGUUGUACCACCUAAGGCAACUGGAUGCAAAUGCAUUCUGUCCAAUCAUUGUCUGGGCCUUCCCCCACCCUAGUCUUGGCACAUUCCUUUAAGAAUGUAGUUACCGUCUGCUUGGGAAGAUGUCAGUGCAAAUGUGAAGAAAAUGGGCAUCGGACUAGACUUUGGUUUGCCACAAGUGGCAGCUGCCUAUACCAAUUACAUUUAAUUUUGCUUUUCAUUUUUCCCUGUUUCCCUCAGCCCCCCUCUUGAAAUGUGGAAAUUUUAGCUGUCAGAGGCAACUGUAAUAUUGCCCUAGGGACUUGUGGAGAAAGGGAGGGGAAUUGCUCAGUGUAGUGUUUUAAACUUUCAGAACCAAGCAACUAUUUACUCUUACUAUUUAAGAAGUGUGUUAGUCUGACUUUAAGAGAAAUCCAAACUCCAUCAGCUUUUGAUAGCAUCUUGGUUUUUGAAACAACUUCAAUCUGUAAUUGGCAUUCAGAAUGCCCUUGGCAUGCCAGUCUGUGUGAUGGCAUUAAAGACCUGUUAAAACACUUGAGCCCAACUUUAUUAACCAAAACUGAUACCACCACCUUUAUCUUCUAAAUAAAGUCCGCUUUAUUUUUAUUUUCAACAUUUUGCUGCUUCAGUUUUUUGUUACAGAUUGUGUC